Mizuhopecten yessoensis (Yesso scallop) is the source of this 260-nucleotide long non-coding RNA. RefSeq lists it as uncharacterized. The record is from RefSeq and is a predicted model, not a curated record. The transcript has 3 exons. NCBI's taxonomy places the organism in Eukaryota, Metazoa, Mollusca, Bivalvia, Pectinida, Pectinidae.
UUAUUAGGUCAGUUAGACUCCUACCUGCCAAGCUGAUCACAAGCUCUAUCUACUUGUCUUUAAAGUAUUCCAGGCAGUUACAUAAAUUAUUCGAAACUUGUACAGAGGUGGCAGUAAUAGAAGCAUCUAGGAUGGCUCACAGAGUGUCUACAGAAUACAAUAAAUAUCCAGUAUGUAAAUACAUGCUAUCUAUGCCAUCUGCCCUGCCUCUGUGAACUGUAAUGUACCAAGCAUUGAAGAAUAAAGAACUCAUUAUUACU